GGAAUCUUGCGCAAUGGACGAAAGUCUGACGCAGCGACGCCGCGUGGGGGAAGAAGGCUUUCGAGUUGUAAACUCCUUUUCUGGGGGAAGAGAACGGACGGUACCCCAGGAAUAAGCCCCGGCUAAAUACGUGCCAGCAGCCGCGGUAAUACGUAUGGGGCGAGCGUUGUCCGGAUUUAUUGGGCGUAAAGGGCGUGUAGGCGGUACGGAAAGUCUUUGCUGAAAUCUCCCGGCUUAACUGGGAGGGGUUGCAAAGAUACUUCCGAACUAGAGGUCAGUAGAGGAGAGCGGAAUUCCCGGUGUAGUGGUGGAAUGCGUAGAUAUCGGGAGGAACACCAGAGGCGAAAGCGGCUCUCUGGGCUGAACCUGACGCUGAGGCGCGAAAGCGUGGGUAGCAAACCGG
RNAcentral lists this ribosomal RNA (403 nucleotides) under uncultured bacterium. RNAcentral's name for it is "bacterial SSU rRNA". It matches the Rfam family "Bacterial small subunit ribosomal RNA", at positions 358 to 776 of the family's 1533-position model. The record is from RNAcentral.